UCUGGGCAUGUGAAGAGAAAUUGUCCAGGUGGAGCAGUAUCUGAAAAAGACUCUGAGACAAGUACUGGCAAGGUCUCCCUUGUCUUGGGAGCUGAUGGUGAUCUCAUCUAGAAGAUAAAGUUUGUCCUUAUGGUAUUUCCGCUAUACCAUGAAAAAGGACAAGUUAUUGCUAGCGGAUUCAGAACAGCACACGGGCAUUGG
RNAcentral lists this long non-coding RNA (201 nucleotides) under Cicer arietinum (chickpea). RNAcentral's name for it is "long non-coding RNA (CARI_LNC001436)". Lineage: Eukaryota; Viridiplantae; Streptophyta; Magnoliopsida; Fabales; Fabaceae. The record is from RNAcentral.